This 642-nucleotide ribosomal RNA is filed under the name uncultured Ehrlichia sp. RNAcentral's name for it is "bacterial SSU rRNA". It matches the Rfam family "Bacterial small subunit ribosomal RNA", at positions 815 to 1456 of the family's 1533-position model. The record is from RNAcentral. Lineage: Bacteria; Pseudomonadati; Pseudomonadota; Alphaproteobacteria; Rickettsiales; Anaplasmataceae.
GCUGAAUGUGGGGAUAAUUUAUCUUUGUAUUGUAGCUAACGCGUUAAGCACUCCGCCUGGGGACUACGGUCGCAAGACUAAAACUCAAAGGAAUUGACGGGGACCCGCACAAGCGGUGGAGCAUGUGGUUUAAUUCGAUGCUACGCGAAAAACCUUACCACUUUUUGACAUGAAGGUCGUAUCCCUCCUAACAGGGGGAGUCAGUUCGGCUGGACCUUACACAGGUGCUGCAUGGUUGUCGUCAGCUCGUGUCGUGAGAUGUUGGGUUAAGUCCCGCAACGAGCGCAACCCUCAUUCUUAGUUACCAACAGGUAGUGCUGGGCACUCUAAGGAAACUGCCAGUGAUAAACUGGAGGAAGGUGGGGAUGAUGUCAAAUCAGCACGGCCCUUAUAGGGUGGGCUACACACGUGCUACAAUGGCAACUACAAUAGGUUGCAAGACCGCAAGGUUUAGCUAAUCCAUAAAAGUUGUCUCAGUUCGGAUUGUUCUCUGAAACUCGAGAGCAUGAAGUCGGAAUCGCUAGUAAUCGUGGAUCAUCACGCCACGGUGAAUACGUUCUCGGGUCUUGUACACACUGCCCGUCACGCCAUGGGAAUUGGCUUAACUCGAAGCUGGUGUGCUAACCGAAAGGAAGCAGCCAU